AUUGAACGCUGGCGGCAGGCCUAACACAUGCAAGUCGAGCGGAUGAAGGGAGCUUGCUCCUGGAUUCAGCGGCGGGCGGGUGAGUAAUGCCUAGGAAUCUGCCUGGUAGUGGGGGAUAACGUCCGGAAACGGGCGCUAAUACCGCAUACGUCCUGAGGGAGAAAGUGGGGGAUCUUCGGACCUCACGCUAUCAGAUGGGCCUAGGUCGGAUUAGCUAGUUGGUGGGGUAAAGGCCUACCAAGGCGACGAUCCGUAACUGGUCUGAGAGGAUGAUCAGUCACACUGGAACUGAGACACGGUCCAGACUCCUACGGGAGGCAGCAGUGGGGAAUAUUGGACAAUGGGCGAAAGCCUGAUCCAGCCAUGCCGCGUGUGUGAAGAAGGUCUUCGGAUUGUAAAGCACUUUAAGUUGGGAGGAAGGGCAGUAAGUUAAUACCUUGCUGUUUUGACGUUACCAACAGAAUAAGCACCGGCUAACUUCGUG
RNAcentral lists this ribosomal RNA (484 nucleotides) under uncultured bacterium. RNAcentral describes it as "partial 16S ribosomal RNA". It matches the Rfam family "Bacterial small subunit ribosomal RNA", at positions 30 to 507 of the family's 1533-position model. The record is from RNAcentral.